RNAcentral lists this transfer RNA (25 nucleotides) under Aneides flavipunctatus (black salamander). Its description in RNAcentral is "partial tRNA-Ser". The record is from RNAcentral. Lineage: Eukaryota; Metazoa; Chordata; Amphibia; Caudata; Plethodontidae.
GAAAAGAGUUAGAANUACAGAAACU